RNAcentral lists this ribosomal RNA (253 nucleotides) under uncultured bacterium. Its description in RNAcentral is "partial 16S ribosomal RNA". It matches the Rfam family "Bacterial small subunit ribosomal RNA", at positions 524 to 776 of the family's 1533-position model. The record is from RNAcentral.
UACGGAGGGGGCUAGCGUUGUUCGGAAUUACUGGGCGUAAAGCGCACGUAGGCGGACCAGCAAGUUAGGGGUGAAAUCCCGGGGCUCAACCCCGGAACUGCCUUUAAAACUGUUGGUCUGGAGGUCGAGAGAGGUGAGUGGAAUUCCGAGUGUGGAGGUGAAAUUCGUAGAUAUUCGGAGGAACACCAGUGGCGAAGGCGGCUCACUGGCUCGAUACUGACGCUGAGGUGCGAAAGCCAGGGGAGCAAACGGG